Molecule: long non-coding RNA, 266 nt
Filed under: Mytilus galloprovincialis (Mediterranean mussel)
Lineage: Eukaryota; Metazoa; Mollusca; Bivalvia; Mytilida; Mytilidae
Source: RNAcentral
CACUGUUUUCGUCUUACUCUCCUUGUUGAUAGCGAUCCCAGCCUAGGCGUUCGUGAUUACUCGGGUCACUUCACGUAGAUAGGGAAAGUUUAUAAAUAUCAACCACACUUUAUCGGAAAUCCCCUGGUUGUGUCAACAGCGUAAAUUUCCCCUUCAGUCAUUUUUAUUGAUUUUUUAAUUUUACAAUUUUGAGCAAAGUAGGCGGCGGAUUUCCUUCAAGUAGACGACGAAAAUCGCCGCCUACCGCCUUCUAUUGAAAGCCCUGA